RNAcentral lists this ribosomal RNA (505 nucleotides) under uncultured bacterium. Its description in RNAcentral is "partial 16S ribosomal RNA". It matches the Rfam family "Bacterial small subunit ribosomal RNA", at positions 28 to 507 of the family's 1533-position model. The record is from RNAcentral.
GACGAACGCUGGCGGCGUGCCUAAUACAUGCAAGUAGAACGCACAGUUUAUACCGUAGCUUGCUACACCAUAAACUGUGAGUUGCGAACGGGUGAGUAACGCGUAGGUAACCUGCCUGGUAGCGGGGGAUAACUAUUGGAAACGAUAGCUAAUACCGCAUAAUAUUAAUUAUUGCAUGAUAAUUGAUUGAAAGAUGCAAUUGCAUCACUACCAGAUGGACCUGCGUUGUAUUAGCUAGUAGGUGAGGUAACGGCUCACCUAGGCGACGAUACAUAGCCGACCUGGGAGGGUGAUCGGCCACACUGGGACUGAGACACGGCCCAGACUCCUACGGGAGGCAGCAGUAGGGAAUCUUCGGCAAUGGACGAAAGUCUGACCGAGCAACGCCGCGGGAGUGAAGAAGGGUUUCGGAUCGUAAAGCUCUGUUGUAAGAGAAGAACGGGUGUGAGAGUGGAAAGUUCACACUGUGACGGUAUCUUACCAGAAAGGGACGGCUAACUACGUG